Molecule: long non-coding RNA, 666 nt
Filed under: Nicotiana tabacum (common tobacco)
Lineage: Eukaryota; Viridiplantae; Streptophyta; Magnoliopsida; Solanales; Solanaceae
Description: long non-coding RNA (NTAB_LNC007267)
Source: RNAcentral
GUUGAAACAGGUAUAAUCCAAGACAGCCGUGCAAGAAGCAGGUGUCGCCCAAAGAAGAAGGUACACGGGUACAAAAAACAUUUUGGCAAUAAGGAAUUCACUCAAAAGGUAAGUUCCCGCAAAACUCCCUUUUAUCUUCUAUUAAAACAAGAAAACUCAAAAAAAAUAGAUCAUGUAGUAUUCUCGAACUUUAUCCCCAGCCAGUCAGCAUUAGGGUUUUAAAACCCUAAACUGAAUUUUCUUUUAGUCAGCGUUAGGGUUUUAAACCCUAAACUGAACUUUUCCCUUUCAGCCAGCAUUAGAGUUUUAAACUCUAAACUGAGCUUUUUCAUGCAAUCAGCAUUAGGGUUUUAAACCCUAAACUGAACUUUCCUUUAGUCAGCAUUAGGGUUUUAAACCCUAAACUGAACUUUUUCCUUUCAGCCAGCAUUAGAGUUUUAAACUCUAAACCGAGCUUUUUCAUGCAAUCAGCAUUAAGGUUUUAAACCCUAAACUGAAUUUUCCUUUCAGCCAGCAUUAGAGUUUUAAACCCUAAACUGAGCUUUUUCAUGCAAUCAGCAUUAGGGUUUUAAACCCUAAACUGAAUUUUCCUUUCAGCCAGCAUUAGGGUUUUAAACCCUAAACUGAGCUUUUUCAUGCAAUCAACAUUAGGGUUUUAAACCCUAA